RNAcentral lists this long non-coding RNA (1318 nucleotides) under Vulpes vulpes (red fox). RNAcentral's name for it is "lncRNA (ENSVVUG00000029509.1)". Lineage: Eukaryota; Metazoa; Chordata; Mammalia; Carnivora; Canidae. The record is from RNAcentral.
CACAUUCUUUCUAAGUCAGUCCUGAGGCUGAACACAGCGCAGCAGUGAUCACGCUCCUUUGUGUGUGUGUGUGGUGUGUGCCCGCGCGUUUGUGUAUGUCAUGACUAUGAAACACUGUCCCAGGUUGAUCUUGGGGAUGACAAACACUCCUCUGAACCUCGUACCUCACCUAACCCUCGGAGGGGGGGGUGGGGAUAAGCUAGUCAUGAGAAUCCCCAGGCCAGAAACUCAUUGUGGUACAAAAAUCCAAAUUUUGGUGAUCCGUAUUUCCUUCCUCUGCUCCCACCUCCAGCUUUCUCCUUCCCUGUCUCCAUCCUGAUCUUUCUCAUCUCUCGACUUCCUUUCCUCUGCCCGUUACCUGCUCCCUCGGCCCUCCUCCUCCUCCUGCUCCUCCUCCCUCUCCCCAUCUCAGCUGCGGCUAAAACCUGGAGUCUUGGGGAAAAGGGAAAAAAAAAAAAAAAAACCCUCGGCUGUAGAGCUGUCAAACCGGGCAUGCUCAGUAGACAGGGCAGGUUUUUUGGUCUCGAGUAGCGGAGAAACAUUUUUUGCACCACCGCUACCAGCCUUAGAGCGCGGCGGCGGCGGCCACGGCAACAGCAGCACAGCCGUUCGCCGUGCAGACGCCCCGCACCCGGGAGCGCGGCGGGCUCCGGCUCAGCCCGGAGUUCACCUCCGAGCGCCCCGGGGGCUGAGCUCACCCCUUCUGCUCGCACACACACGCACACUCUCUCUUUCACGGACACUCUCGCGUAUACACACUCUCGCACACGCACACGACCCCGGGCGCAAGCACCCUCCUGGCAAGGAUCGUCCGCUGGCGCGGCAAUAGCCAGGAACCGGCUGAGACGCCUGAAGUCCUGGGCACCGGCGGCGCCCGGCGGGGCUGAGCACCUGGCAAGGGGGCGGGGGACCGCACCUGGGGACGCCACCGAAACUUGCGCCUGGACUAGGAAUUACAAGAGUGACCUUUAUUCAGCUGUCUCCUUUUUGAUUCCCAUAACUUCUGGAUCUAUCAAGGUGGUCAUUCAAGGUCAAGCAUCUCUCUGUAACUUGGAACCAGCCAAGUGCAUAACCUGAUGAGUUCAGACUCCAAUGCUUUCAAUCUGGCACCCUUCAUGAGCAGUGAAGCUUGAAGAUUAAACAACAGUGUCGUAUCUGACUGAAGCUAACAGCCUCAAACAAAACUGGUUAUGGAGAUUUGAUUAUAGCAAAAUGGAAUUCAGCAUUCCAUGGUCAUUUAAAUAUUACCUACUAUGCACUUUUAUCUGUCUUCAAUUAUUUGUAUCUCAUUUCACAGACGCAUUAAAGAUAACCUCAC